GUUUUGAUAAAACUACCAUGUUAACGUAGCGUCAGUUGCAAAUGGCCCCCAAUUGAGGUGUCGGCUGGGUUUUGAGCAUCAGAAACUGUCCACUUCAUAUUUGCCAUCGCGUUGAGGUUUUGAUGCAGAGUCUCAGGGUCAUAAUAUAAAUGGGCUUGGGCUUGAUUGUUAAGUGAAAAAAUUUAAAAUGGGCUUGGGCUUGAUGGUUAAGGAAGAAAAGAGUUAAAAUGGGCUUGGCUUAUCUAAAAUUCAACGAAUUCAUUACAUAUCAGAUACAGAGAUUGCAGAGACCAGGCUAUUUUUCUUUUCUUCCUUUUUCUUUUUCCUGCUUGGAUGUGGCCAUACAGGGGAAAAGAGCCCCUAACAUCAAUGGUUCUUACAGGAUUUCCUUGGUAAGUUGCUCACUAACUCCACUGUCUGCUCUCUAAUGCUUGUUUUUUUAUUUUAUUUUCUAAUUUUUUUAUAAUUAAUGAGCAAAAAGAGGAGCAUGGUGGGUGCCUCAACGCUCUCUGUUAAAGCCACAGAUUUGAAUUAAGAUGAUAUAUGAAGAGUUUGCAGGAAAGAUGAAUCUGUCGAGGAUUACGUUUUGCGCAUUAAGAUUGAGGAUGGUUUAAGACUGUUGUUCUUACACAGGCCUGGUGAAGGCUCACAGUAGUACAGUGGGAAGGAACUACAAAAAUUGAAGGCUGUAUGAUCAACUGGGGUAUUCCUUCCAGAAAGAGACCCCCCUGAGAGUUCUCAAUGCUGCAUCAUUUAGUGAACUGAGAGUGAGAAGGCUACAGACAGUUUCUCGCACCAUAUCACAGGGAUUUUCCUCCUGGCUUAUGGCAUUCUCGUGGCAUGAAAACCCUAGAAGAACCGAGUGGAGAGCAGGCCAAAUUAAAGGAUUAAAUGAACCCUUCAUCUAUCUCCACUCCUAGCUCCGAUCAAACCGUAUCAGACUUUGCUCAUCCCAGACAAAUUGGAUAAAAAUUAAGUCCCUCGAAACCAGAUGAUACAGAAUACCCUACCUGUAGAACCAGCCCUAUUUACUAUUAUUUGCUAAAGCAGCUCCCGGCCCCCAAGAAAGCUGCAAGCUCCUCCCUCAAGCGAGUCCCGUCUGCCUUCCCAUUGCUUUAAGCCAACUCCUUUCUCUCCCUGCUCCAAACAGAGACCCCCGGGUCUCCUCCUAUGCCCCCUCCUUAAGUAGAGCUAUCUUUCGUAUAGAGUGCUUAAAUUAAUUCAUCCUGGUGCCAUGUCUCUUUGGAGUUUGGUUGAGCUUGUAGAACAUUUGUAUUUAAGCAGUCGUGUUACUCCUCUGUGCUCCUCGAUGCAUACUCUUCUGGCUUGUAUCAUUUUCUCGUGUUGUUAUUUAAUAAACAUACUUCUAAACUCGAGA
This is a long non-coding RNA of Populus euphratica (Euphrates poplar), 1378 nucleotides long. RefSeq lists it as uncharacterized. The record is from RefSeq and is a predicted model, not a curated record. Lineage: Eukaryota; Viridiplantae; Streptophyta; Magnoliopsida; Malpighiales; Salicaceae. The transcript has 2 exons.